This 644-nucleotide ribosomal RNA is filed under the name uncultured Actinomycetes bacterium. Its description in RNAcentral is "bacterial SSU rRNA". It matches the Rfam family "Bacterial small subunit ribosomal RNA", at positions 232 to 885 of the family's 1533-position model. Lineage: Bacteria; Bacillati; Actinomycetota; Actinomycetes. The record is from RNAcentral.
CGCGGCCUAUCAGCUUGUUGGUGAGGUAAUGGCUCACCAAGGCGUCGACGGGUAGCCGGCCUGAGAGGGUGACCGGCCACACUGGGACUGAGACACGGCCCAGACUCCUACGGGAGGCAGCAGUGGGGAAUAUUGCGCAAUGGGCGAAAGCCUGACGCAGCAACGCCGCGUGCGGGAUGAAGGCCUUCGGGUUGUAAACCGCUUUCAGCAGGGAAGAAGCCGCAAGGUGACGGUACCUGCAGAAGAAGCACCGGCUAACUACGUGCCAGCAGCCGCGGUAAUACAUAGGGUGCAAGCGUUGUCCGGAAUUAUUGGGCGUAAAGAGCUCGUAGGUGGUCGAUCACGUCGAAUGUGAAAAUCUGAGGCUUAACCUCAGACCUGCAUUCGAUACGGGUUGACUAGAGUGUGGUAGGGGAGACUGGAAUUCCUGGUGUAGCGGUGGAAUGCGCAGAUAUCAGGAGGAACACCGAUGGCGAAGGCAGGUCUCUGGGCCAUUACUGACACUGAGGAGCGAAAGCGUGGGGAGCGAACAGGAUUAGAUACCCUGGUAGUCCACGCCGUAAACGGUGGGCGCUAGUUGUGGGAACCUUCCACGGUUUCUGCGACGCAGCUAACGCAUUAAGCGCCCCGCCUGGGGAGUACGG